This 67-nucleotide transfer RNA is filed under the name Tympanophyllum maximum. RNAcentral's name for it is "tRNA-Ile". Lineage: Eukaryota; Metazoa; Arthropoda; Insecta; Orthoptera; Tettigoniidae. The record is from RNAcentral.
AAUGAUGUGCCUGAUUAAUAAAAGGAUUACUGUGAUAGAGUAAAUCAUGUAAACUUUACCUUCAUUA